RNAcentral lists this ribosomal RNA (460 nucleotides) under uncultured bacterium. RNAcentral describes it as "partial 16S ribosomal RNA". It matches the Rfam family "Bacterial small subunit ribosomal RNA", at positions 338 to 795 of the family's 1533-position model. The record is from RNAcentral.
CCUACGGGAGGCAGCAGUGGGGAAUAUUGGUCAAUGGGCGAAAGCCUGAACCAGCCAAGUCGCGUGAAGGAUGAAGGAUCUAUGGUUUGUAAACUUCUUUUAUAUGGGAAUAAAUUGAGGCACGUGUUCCUUUUUGUAUGUACCAUAUGAAUAAACAUCGGCUAACUCCGUGCCAGCAGCUGCGGUAAUACGGAGGAUGCGAGCGUUAUCCGGAUUUAUUGGGUUUAACGGGUGCGUAGGUGGUUAAUUAAGUCAGCGGUAAAAGUUUGUGGCUCAACCAUAAAAUUGCAGUUGAGACUGGUUGACUUGAGUAUAUGUGAGGUAGGCGGAAUGCGUGGGGUAGCGGUGAAAUGCAUAGAUAUCACGAAGAACUCCGAUUGCGAAGGCAGCUUACUAAACUAUAACUGACACUGAAGCACGAAAGCGUGGGGAUCAAACAGGAUUAGAUACCCUAGUAGUC